GUCCAGCAAUUGGUUAUAGCAGAAUUGUGUGAGACCGCCAUGGUUAGGAGACAGUGGUUACGGCCCCUUUGUUCAUCACUUGGUUCACAUUUCUGGGUGGGGAAAAUUCAAAAACCAAGCUCAGUUGAAAGUGCAGGGUGGCGUGGGCUUUUGUUUUUGGCAGUAGAUAGUUAGAAAUUUUGGUGAAUAUUUUUUUUUUUUGUUAGAUAAAUUUUAGUCAAUAAAUUUAGUCUUUAGCUUUCAAUUCUUGGCUCCCAUUUUUCAACAAAACUAACAAGUAAUAACAACACUGUCUUCUUGCAGUAUAAAAUUC
RNAcentral lists this unclassified non-coding RNA (313 nucleotides) under Hevea brasiliensis (rubber tree). Lineage: Eukaryota; Viridiplantae; Streptophyta; Magnoliopsida; Malpighiales; Euphorbiaceae. The record is from RNAcentral.